UAUUCAUAAUAGUCUGCUAACUUAAAGCAUUGCUAAUUCUCACUCUGUCUUCUUCUAUUGACCUAAGUCAGAAUGAGAAAAAACACCCCUAAGCGGCUGUUUAAAGUUAGCGGACCAUUAUGAAUAAGGGGAUAAAUAUAUUCCUAGAAAAAAACUUAUGAUGUGAUCAGUAAACUGAUAAAAAAAACUACGUAAUAAAAAGUCCAUUUAUUAAAAUUAAUUAUUACAAAAUAAACACCUCAAAGAAAUUAAUAAUGGCAAUUCAUUCUUAUUUUUUAUAUAACAUAUGUAUAUGUGAUGAUUCAUAUGUAAGUAAACAUGAUUCUAAUUCUAAAUCUUUUCAAAAAAAAAUUAUCUGUAUCUAUAACAUGAUAACUUUUAAUAUUAAUAUAUUUUAUAAUUAACUAACCUUGGCAUAAAAGUGCACUUUAGGUUUAAACUCAAUAUUCCUGGGAAAAUUUUGUAUUUUGGGUAUAGCCACAGGCUUUAUAAUGGCUCAUGAUCUCCCUUAACCCUCAGAAUAAUGUUGCCCUUAAGUCUCAAAAGGAAAAAUAUUGCUAAUUAUAAAGGAGUUUUUAACAUGAUUAUUGCCAAUUUUUAUUAUGUACAUACAAUUUUUAACAGUUUGAACAAUUGUUAAAAAUUAUAAUUAUACUUACAGACUUAAUAUGCAGAUUUUAUGUUUUCCCACUAUGUUGUAUAAAAAUACCAAUAUCUACAUACAUAGUUAUGCCUAUAAUAUUUUUAAGUAUAUGCAGUUUACGACUCCCGUUUCUGUCACCCUUAUAAAAGAUAUUGCCAACUUACAACUUUAGAAUAAAAUAUUUUGUACAUUUAUUUGUAUAAUAUUUUUAGAAUAAUAACUAUUGAAUAAAUUUAACUUGACAAUAAUA
Leptidea sinapis is the source of this 893-nucleotide long non-coding RNA. RefSeq lists it as uncharacterized. NCBI's taxonomy places the organism in Eukaryota, Metazoa, Arthropoda, Insecta, Lepidoptera, Pieridae. The record is from RefSeq and is a predicted model, not a curated record. The transcript is spliced from 2 exons.